This 694-nucleotide long non-coding RNA is filed under the name Setaria viridis. RNAcentral describes it as "long non-coding RNA (SVIR_LNC001484)". The record is from RNAcentral. Lineage: Eukaryota; Viridiplantae; Streptophyta; Magnoliopsida; Poales; Poaceae.
GGAAUUCGACAAUGGCUUUCUUUAUAACUUGCUGCUGGUUAGGCAGAGGAGGAUCCACCUUACCAGCAAGGUUUGGCUACUGCCACACCUGCUUCCUGGCCAAACGGUCCACUCCACUUGAACAGUUCUCUUCACGGUCGACCUGCACAACAAAAUAACGAGAAAGCCAAAGUGGAUGUCUCUACAAAUGUGGGGCUGUACCUGGGCCUACUCGUCUGUUUUCCAUUAGCUUUUUGCUGCAAGACACCUUGUCCUCCUACUUAGCCCAUCCCAGUAUGCAUUAUUUGACCAUGCUAACGACCUUAACCAUGAUAACGACAAUGAUAGCUUGAGAAAAGUUGGUCCUUUGAUCCAAAAAUACAAAAAAAAGAAAGAUAUUGAAGCAUUCCAGAUACCUAAAGAACCUAAUCAAACAUCACAAGUAUAUAUAGCUUAUUAGAGCAACUUCAAGAAUCUCUUAAAAAAUUUUCCCCAAAAAUAUUAUGUAUUGGGGGUUCGAUCUCCUAAAUAUUUCUUUCCCCAAAAUCGUAUCAUCCCAUAGCAGAUGUCCAAUACUAUCCUCCCCAUUAUUUCAAAAUAGGCCAGAUCAGCAUAAAUGGGCCUAUGAGUUGGGCCACCCUCACCCUCCACCUCACGUGAACUCCCCCUCACGCAUGAUCUACUCCCGUCGCCCUUCUAGCACCGCCGCCACUCC